GACGAACGCUGGCGGCGUGCUUAACACAUGCAAGUCGAACGGAAAGGCCCUGCUUUUGUGGGGUGCUCGAGUGGCGAACGGGUGAGUAACACGUGAGUAACCUGCCCUUGACUUUGGGAUAACUUCAGGAAACUGGGGCUAAUACCGGAUAGGAGCUCCUGCUGCAUGGUGGGGGUUGGAAAGUUUCGGCGGUUGGGGAUGGACUCGCGGCUUAUCAGCUUGUUGGUGGGGUAGUGGCUUACCAAGGCUUUGACGGGUAGCCGGCCUGAGAGGGUGACCGGCCACAUUGGGACUGAGAUACGGCCCAGACUCCUACGGGAGGCAGCAGUGGGGAAUAUUGCACAAUGGGCGGAAGCCUGAUGCAGCAACGCCGCGUGCGGGAUGACGGCCUUCGGGUUGUAAACCGCUUUCGCCUGUGACGAAGCGUAAGUGACGGUAAUGGGUAAAGAAGCACCGGCUAACUACGUGCCAGCAGCCGCGGUGAUACGUAGGGUGCGAGCGUUGUCCGGAUUUAUUGGGCGUAAAGGGCUCGUAGGUGGUUGAUCGCGUCGGAAGUGCAAUCUUGGGGCUUAACCCUGAGCGUGCUUUCGAUACGGGUUGACUUGAGGAAGGUAGGGGAGAAUGGAAUUCCUGGUGGAGCGGUGGAAUGUGCAGAUAUCAGGAGGAACACCAGUGGCGAAGGCGGUUCUCUGGGCCUUUCCUGACGCUGAGGAGCGAAAGCGUGGGGAGCGAACAGGCUUAGAUACCCUGGUAGUCCACGCUGUAAACGGUGGGUACUAGGUGUGGGGUCCAUUCCACGGGUUCCGUGCCGUAGCUAACGCUUUAAGUACCCCGCCUGGGGAGUACGGCCGCAAGGCUAAAACUCAAAGGAAUUGACGGGGCCCCGCACAAGCGGCGGAGCAUGCGGAUUAAUUCGAUGCAACGCGUAGAACCUUACCUGGGUUUGACAUGGAUCGGGAGUGCUCAGAGAUGGGUGUGCCUCUUUUGGGGUCGGUUCACAGGUGGUGCAUGGCUGUCGUCAGCUCGUGUCGUGAGAUGUUGGGUUAAGUCCCGCAACGAGCGCAACCCUUGUUCACUGUUGCCAGCACGUUAUGGUGGGGACUCAGUGGAGACCGCCGGGGUCAACUCGGAGGAAGGUGGGGAUGACGUCAAGUCAUCAUGCCCCUUAUGUCCAGGGCUUCACGCAUGCUACAAUGGCUGGUACAGAGAGUGGCGAGCCUGUGAGGGUGAGCGAAUCUCGGAAAGCCGGUCUCAGUUCGGAUUGGGGUCUGCAACUCGACCUCAUGAAGUCGGAGUCGCUAGUAAUCGCAGAUCAGCAACGCUGCGGUGAAUACGUUCCCGGG
Molecule: ribosomal RNA, 1343 nt
Filed under: uncultured bacterium
Lineage: Bacteria
Description: 16S ribosomal RNA
Rfam family: Bacterial small subunit ribosomal RNA
Source: RNAcentral